GCCGGUGGUUCUCGCGAGGGGGAUACACCUGGUCCCAUCCCGAACCCAGCAGUUAAGCCCCUCAGCGCCGAUGGUACUGCAGCCUCAGGCCGGGGGAGAGUAGGUCACCGCCGGCU
RNAcentral lists this ribosomal RNA (116 nucleotides) under Gemmatimonadota bacterium. Lineage: Bacteria; Pseudomonadati; Gemmatimonadota. The record is from RNAcentral.